RNAcentral lists this small nucleolar RNA (74 nucleotides) under Triticum aestivum (bread wheat). Its description in RNAcentral is "Small nucleolar RNA Z199". It matches the Rfam family "Small nucleolar RNA Z199". From Rfam's summary of the family: snoZ199 is a C/D box small nucleolar RNA, which acts as a methylation guide RNA for sites on 18S and 25S rRNA. Rice snoZ199 is reported to be homologous to Arabidopsis snoR13. Lineage: Eukaryota; Viridiplantae; Streptophyta; Magnoliopsida; Poales; Poaceae. RNAcentral also lists the same sequence under 1 other name. The record is from Rfam by way of RNAcentral.
AUAUCAAAGGAUGAGACAAUACUGCAACAAUAUGAGCGAUGAUCUGAUUCUUAGUAUUUAAGUCUCUGAUCAUC